AGUGCGAUAAGGGGACUCCGAGUGCGAGGGCAUAUAGUCCUCGCUUUUCUGCAACCGUAAGGAGGUUUAGGAAUAAGGRCUGGGCAAGACCGGUGCCAGCCGCCGCGGUAAUACCGGCAGUCCAAGUGAUGGCCGCUAUUAUUGGGCCUAAAGCGUCCGUAGCCAGCCAGACAGGUCCGUCGGGAAAUCCACBCGCUCAACGAGUGGGCGUCCGGCGGAAACCAGCUGGCUUGGGGCCGGAAGACCCGAGGGGUACGUCCGGGGUAGGAGUGAAAUCCYGUAAUCCUGGACGGACCACCGGUGGCGAAAGCGCCUCGRGAAGACGGACCCGACGGUGAGGGACGAAAGCUAGGGUCACGAACCGGAUUAGAUACCCGGGUAGUCCUAGCUGUAAACGAUGCUCGCUAAGUAUGGCACACACUACGAGUGUGUGCUGUGCUGUAGUGAAGACGAGAAGCGAGCCGCCUGGGAAGUACGUCCGCAA
RNAcentral lists this ribosomal RNA (484 nucleotides) under uncultured Halorussus sp. RNAcentral's name for it is "bacterial SSU rRNA". It matches the Rfam family "Archaeal small subunit ribosomal RNA", at positions 364 to 846 of the family's 1478-position model. The record is from RNAcentral. Lineage: Archaea; Methanobacteriati; Methanobacteriota; Halobacteria; Halobacteriales; Haladaptataceae.